GGAUAUGAUGAAAUGGCAA
Molecule: small nuclear RNA, 19 nt
Filed under: Arabidopsis thaliana (thale cress)
Lineage: Eukaryota; Viridiplantae; Streptophyta; Magnoliopsida; Brassicales; Brassicaceae
Description: snRNA_06778
Source: RNAcentral